This is a non-coding RNA of Drosophila persimilis, 1620 nucleotides long. NCBI's taxonomy places the organism in Eukaryota, Metazoa, Arthropoda, Insecta, Diptera, Drosophilidae. The record is from Rfam.
UGAGAUUUGUGAAUAUCCCCAGAUUUGCAUCCUUUGCGGGGGCGGAAGGGGGUGUGGCGAAAUUUUGAAACAAACUCGUCUCGGUCCGAUAUAUUAGGAGUGUGGAUACCAAAUUUGGUUGCUCUAGCUUUUAUAGUCUCUGAGAUCUAGGCGCUAAUGUUUUACUCUAAGCAAAGCCGCCUAUGCUACGUGUGUGUUAGAGAGAGACAGGGCGAGAAAAAAUGAAAUUGUUUUCUUGAUUCUGGCUGUAAUAAUUAUACGAUCUGGUUCAGAUUCUGCAAUCUAAAAGAUAUAGUCAUCUUCUACGAUUCUGCGUUUUUUGUUUUCUCGUAUCCUCGAAAUUGUGGAUGCCACAGAUUUUCGCACUUUGUGGGGGCGGAAGUGGGCGGGGCAAUGUUUUGAAAUAUUUUUGUAGCAGUGACAUAUCACAGAAGUCUGGAUCCAAAACAUCGUUGCUCUGGCUCUUAUAGUCUUUGAGCAUUAGGCGCUGAAGGGGACGGACAGACGGACAGACGGACGGACGGACAGACGGACAGACGGACGGACGGACAGACGGACAGACAGACAUGGCUCAAUCGACUCGGCUAUUGAUGCUGAUCAAGAAUAUAUAUACAAAUCUAAUAUACCCCAAUACUCAUUUUGAGUAUCGGGUAUAAUCAGUGAGUAAUAUUGUCAAAUCUUCUAUGAUUUUUAAAUACUUGAAUAAUUUUGAACGAAAGGGAAUACGGUUCCAAUUCCGUAACCUGUUGAGUAUCCGUUUGUUAUUAAAUAUGGGCCUCGUGCUCAUCCUGGCAACAGGAACGACCAUAAGGAAGCCAUCGAGAGAUAUCGGAAGAGUUUUCUUUUUUGUUUUAUAGCCGUACUACCAUGGAAGUCUUUCGCAGAGAGAUAUUGUAGAUGGGCUAGAAGAGCAUGACAUAUACUGUUGUGUCGAUAUUUUCUCCUCGGACCUUGAAAAUUUAUGGUGGGGACACGCAAACUUCUCAACAGGCCGUACCAAUAUCCGCAGCUGGUAUCCAAGGGGAAGAGUCUCUAGUCGAUAGAAUAAUGUAGGUAAGGGAAGUCGGCAAAUUAGAUCCGUAACUUCGGGAUAAGGAUUGGUUUUGAAGAUUGAGAUAGUCGGGCUUGAUUGGGAAACAAUAACAUGGUUUAUGUGCUCGUUCUGGGUAAAUAGAGUUUCUAUCAUUUAUGGUAGUUACUUGUUCCCCGGAUAGUUUAGUUACGUAGCCAAUUGUGGAACUUUCUUGCUACAAUUUUUAAGAAUACUAAUUGGGUUAAACCAGUUAGUUCUUAUUAAUUAUAACGAUUAUCAAUUAACAAUCAAUUCAGAACUGGCACGGACCUGGGGAAUCCCACUGUUUAAUUAAAACGAAGCAUAAUGAUGGCGGGUGUUGACACAAUGUAAUUUCAGCCCAGUGCUCUGAAUGUCAAAGUUAAGAAAUUCAAGUAAGCGCGGGUAAACGGCGGGAGUAACUUUGACUCUCUUCGGAAGAUAUGGAUCUGAAUAAUAGCAUAGAAGGGAAGUCAUUCCGUAAUUCGUAAAUCGUAAAAAUCAGAUCAAGUUGAUUCAAGACCUCCUCGUGGUAUCUUGUGGAUGCUAUUAGACUAAGAUCUUUUGGU